This 73-nucleotide transfer RNA is filed under the name Salmo salar (Atlantic salmon). It matches the Rfam family "tRNA". From Rfam's summary of the family: Transfer RNA (tRNA) molecules are approximately 80 nucleotides in length. Their secondary structure includes four short double-helical elements and three loops (D, anti-codon, and T loops). Further hydrogen bonds mediate the characteristic L-shaped molecular structure. tRNAs have two regions of fundamental functional importance: the anti-codon, which is responsible for specific mRNA codon recognition, and the 3' end, to which the tRNAs corresponding amino acid is attached (by aminoacyl-tRNA synthetases). tRNAs cope with the degeneracy of the genetic code in two manners: having more than one tRNA (with a specific anti-codon) for a particular amino acid; and 'wobble' base-pairing, i.e. permitting non-standard base-pairing at the 3rd anti-codon position. Lineage: Eukaryota; Metazoa; Chordata; Actinopteri; Salmoniformes; Salmonidae. The record is from Rfam by way of RNAcentral.
AUCCCUGUAGCUCAGUUGGUAGAGCAUGGUGUUUGCAACGCCAGGGUUGUGGGUUUGAUUCCCACGGGGGGCA